RNAcentral lists this ribosomal RNA (252 nucleotides) under uncultured bacterium. RNAcentral describes it as "partial 16S ribosomal RNA". It matches the Rfam family "Bacterial small subunit ribosomal RNA", at positions 524 to 776 of the family's 1533-position model. The record is from RNAcentral.
UACGUAGGUCCCGAGCGUUGUCCGGAUUUAUUGGGCGUAAAGCGAGCGCAGGUGGUUUAUUAAGUCUGGUGUAAAAGGCAGUGGCUCAACCAUUGUAUGCAUUGGAAACUGGUAGACUUGAGUGCAGGAGAGGAGAGUGGAAUUCCACGUGUAGCGGUGAAAUGCGUAGAUAUAUGGAAGAACACCAGUGGCGAAAGCGGCUCUCUGGUCUGUAACUGACGCUGAGGUUCGAAAGCGUGGGUAGCAAACAGG